This 4752-nucleotide unclassified non-coding RNA is filed under the name Daphnia pulicaria. Its description in RNAcentral is "uncharacterized LOC124326051, transcript variant X1". Lineage: Eukaryota; Metazoa; Arthropoda; Branchiopoda; Diplostraca; Daphniidae. The record is from RNAcentral.
AACUCGGUCAUUCGACCUAGAGUGGCUAGUCAAGGGAGACGCUAACUUAAACACUUUACUUAAAAGCACGUCUGCUUGUAACUCUCCGGAACAACUUGCCAAAAUCCUCGGAGAAUGUCCAACAAAUAAUUCCGUCGUAUUACUUGAAGAGAACGUCACCGGUACAAGUAACAACGGAUGUUGCACAAGCUGUAAGCAAUCACUUGUUAACCAUUUACGAGCACCAAAAGCGAUCGAAUCCCUCUUUCAAGAUCUCCAAAAAUUCAUGUUCUUCUUCGAACGUGUGGCUGAAUUGUAUAUCCAGCAGCGCAAAAACAAUCCGGAUGACGCUAAAAACUUUUUCCGUUUUCUUUUGAGCUCCGGUUGCCGUCUCCAACUUUCGUGGCGCUUUCUGACUGUCGUCGUACGCACAGUCUUGUCGACUGGUGGAUCCAAACCGGGUACUGCUAUCAUUGACGAGCUGCUCUUGAAUAUUGACUGCAAUCGACCGACUCGCGAACUCAACGUCAAUGCAAACAAUUUACUUCUAGCGUUACUCGUUUGUUUUGACCAAGAUAUCCAGAACACCCAGGAGGAGGAAGUUGUCGAAGAUUUAAUUCAAGCCGCGAUGACGGGUCAUUGGAAUGUUAAGCGGAUUCGAAAACUAGGACUCAUCCGACGCCAACUCGCCGCGAAUGAACAAAUUGGACCUGAAAUGGAGAACAUUAUCACCAAAUGGUCUCAUUGGCUGAAAAAUCAAACUGAUCAAUCCAUCACAGAUCCUCUUCUCUUUUUUAUCCUGCGCUUCUGUUCCGCCGAAGGAGAUGAAACGCGACUCGGCAACAUUUUCCGCCAUCCAGUCAUUGCCAAUGAACUUUGUCAUCACACAGUAAUCAACAAUUACAUCAAAACCUUAUCUCCGCUAUCGCUGGGGUUCACGCUGCAAUCUGCAGACCUUACAGCUAACCCUUUUAAUGAGCGCUUGUUGGAAGGUAAUUGCAUCGAUUCUGGAGCCUUUCAACAUUAUCCUCUGCUAGUGAAUCUCCAACCCGAUUGGGCUCCUUUCAUCGCUCGAUUAGCUUAUCACGCGUUUGACAUCUUUGCAGCUCGUAACAUAGGCUUUUUACGAGAAAUGGCUUCCAAUCUCGAUGCUGCAGCCCAGUUCAUCUUGCCUGGCAUCGAAAAUCAUCCUUACUUAUCCAGUUUUGAAAGAGAAUCAGAUCAUUGGUAUGUUUGCAGUUGUGGAGCACUGUGUUGCCUCGGAAAUUGUGGAAAUCCUGUCGCAGAAUCUAUUUGUCCCAGCUGUCGUGUUGCACUCGGCCGCGACCAUAAACGUCGUCGUGGCGUUAGAAAAGCAACCGCCCAAGAUUUCCAGCCACCCAGAGGCAUCUUCGUUACCCGCCAGCCUUCUAAAGAAUCAACUUCUGCCGUGAGAAACUGUUCUCCAGUCGUCAGUCGAUUCGCCCUCUUGCUAAAUUCACUAGCACUGAUGAACGCUGCAUUGAAUCCACAGAUAACUCAUCAGGUUAUUUCUAGAUUUCUUCAAACUUUACCUUCAACUGAACGCCAGCAGAACGAGGAUCGUCGUUCGUUUAUUCAACUCUUUUCGAAUCAUACUGUCGUUCAUCUCGAUGUUCUUUGUCAACUACUGGUGACCUCUAGACCGAAUCUUACUAUGACGGACAAGUUCCGCAUUGGACAUUUGUUGCUCCACAAAUUGUUGGAUUCACAAAAUACCUCAUUCUUUGCUCAAAAGGACGCGUUCGGAAAUGGACCACAGGCAAGGGAAGCAUUCGAACAAGGAUUAGCUGAACUGUUGAACCAGCAGUUAAAUUUGGCGGAAGAGCUCGACCACAUCACCGGACAAUCGAGCGAAGCAUCAAAGGCAUUCCGUCAAUCCUUAUCGGAAAAUGAAACCUCGCACUGGGCUUACGCUAGAAGAGUUUUUGCUAAUCGAGAGUCCGUCCAACUAGAACUGGCAAGAAAUGGCCAAUUACGCCUGGAUUAUCCUUUCCUGGAUUUUGUGCUUGACGAAAACAAUGGAAUGCGCAAAUUGAAUGCGUUGCAACAUCUCGGCGAAGCUAUGCGUUUUAUCGCUCUUGUUCGCACUGUUUUAUCAGGCAAAUUAACACAAGAAGAAGCUUACCAAAUGUCUAUUGCUCAAGGAUUGGAGAAAAUGGCCGAAAUCGUCAUGGAGAAAGGAAUUAUUUUGGAUCGGGGACGAACGGUCACCUCCCGAGAUCACGUGAUGAAGCUCUAUGACGGCUUUAAGCAGUUGUGGGAUCGAUUUAGUCAGUUGGAGAAUGCAGCGAAGAAAACUUUCUUGGAUUAUUUUGAAUGUCAACAAGUCGCCAUCAACGUCAGGCCAAAGACAGUGUUGGAUCAGUCAGCUCCACUGAUCCUCAUUUGCGCCGGUACGGAACCGCCAGAGGCCACAUUCAGUUGUCAAUUAUUGGAUCACGCCGUGGAAGCCGCAUCAUCCAUCGCUCGAACAAACUUCAUCCAGCCUCAUUGCCGGAAGGACUCUGGCCGCAUCCGGCUCUCUUGUUCCAGCGCUGCAGCCUUGGCUGACUUUGACGAGUCCUUGUACGCUCACGUGUCCACCGAAGAGGUCGACCGUUUUAUCCGCGAUCACGUCAUUGAUCUCUCCACCCUCCCGCUAGCAGAAUCAUUUGCCAGGGCUGCCAUAUUAGGAUCAGUUGGCAGUACCAUCGCAGAAGAAUUAUCUCUUGAAGUAAUUCCCGAAUUUAAAUUUAAAGAUGAUGUAGAAUCGGUAAAUUUUAUGGUGAUCCUGGAGAGACGAUCUUUAGCCUGGCAGCCGUCUCCGAUUCCAUCCAAAAUUCAGGAACUUAUUCUAGCCGAUUUGGAGAAAAACCGGAGCUUAGCUGAGGCAAGAUCUAUCCUCAUUUCAGCCAUCACCCACCUGUAUUCUAAUACUGAGCCACUCAUCAUUACUAAGAUUCGAAAUAACUACAUAUCGGACGUGUUGGAAGAAAUGCUGAAGGCCAAGAUCUUAACCGAGCUUCACAUUUCGGAAGGAACGAAAUUAGCAUUCACUCACCAUUUGAAACUGGAAGUUCGUCACGCGUUUGGUUUACUCAAAGCUAUUACGUUUCGUAUGAAAGGUGUCGACGGCCGCGUCCCGGAUGGAUGGACUACGAAGCUGUCGGAAACCUUGGCUCAGGAGACGAGGAAGAAAUUGCUUGCAGAACCAGGAGGUGGAAUACUGGAGACUUUGUUAUUAUUGGUCGACAAUGUUGCCUCCGAGUCCGUUCAAGCUUCGCUUAUGCCGGACGAAUCAUUAUUGAUCUCCAUCCGAGCAGUUGAAGGUGAUGACGAAUGGAAUGGAAUUCCUGCAGAACUUAAAAUGAAACAUCUCGAUCACGUACUCCGGAUUGCGGAAUCCCUUCCCAAAACAUAGAUGCCCGAUUCAUCUCCAGAUUAAGCAAGAUGUGUCCCAUUAUACUUGCAUAUCAAAUAGGAUUCAUAAUUAACAGUGUUACUUGUUAUUACCUACUAAUAAAUCAAUUCUGAGUUAACACCAAGUUAAUGAUUCUGCUUAACAUCUAAAUAGGUCAGAAUUGCAAGAUUUUUUUUCUUCUAUUGUUCCGUUGUGUGUGACGUCAUGUUGCUGUCGACUUACGUCGUGUGUUGCUGUGGGAGUUUUGGCCUUGCUGAAAGCGGCGCUAGGUGGAGAUAUAGCAGUAACCGAAACGUUCUCUCUAACUUGAAGAUGUGCUGUUAUUUACUUGACUCAGUUAGGAAGAACAGGGAUGAAAGGAAUCGACCCGGAAUAAAAGCCGGCAGAAGAAAGUAUUCUUAGUGAUCAUUUACAAUGUUUAAGUCAUUUAACUUUGCACCAACAAUUCGAACCCAAAUUUUAAGCUGUAUGAACUCAGAAAGUACGUCAUUACCGGCAGAUUGAAACAUCAGGUAUUUGCAUUGAAUAGAAGCGUAAAUCAAUCAAGGUCCCAUUAUCAGUAGGUGGUUCUUGCGUCACUGACCUGCAAAAACAGGCGCGAAUCCAUUUCAAUGUUACAGUGAAAGCCCAAAAUUAUACGCCGGAGGAUAUUCGUGCAUACAGUCUACAAAGCUAAUAUGAUAACUUUUUUUAUUGCGUAUUCGUCUGAAAUCUCUGCUACAGCUUUCUUUCUUCCAAUGGCGCAUUUUGGGCAUUCCCCCAAAAGCAAUUUCAUUAUUCCGUGGGCCUUAUUUAAAAAAAUUCCCCUUUUUUCGUGAUAUCGCUCACGUACGAAGUUGGAGAGAUUCGCUCGCAGCGAAAUGUUCCCGCAUUCCCUUCAAGUCUCAGCAGCCGUUCGGUUCAGUCAGUUCAGUCGGUUCGUCACGUCAACACUUGUAAUAUGAAUUUGCAUACCAACCAAACAAGCCGAGAGUACGAGAAGACAAAAUUGUUUAGCGGCGGCAACUGGUUGAUGCAAGUCUUGGCUAAAUUCGCCGUUUGGAAAGUGGAUAACUCACAGUCACCAUCUAGAACAACAAAGUCAGUUAGGAAACGCUGUCGUUCUCAUUCACUUUCCCAUAGGUCCUUCACGGGUCUAUUUUGAAUCAGGACCGACAAUACAAGAUUUACCGACGGCCGGUACAUUGAGCUUUCUUCAUUUUUUUUUAAAUGCCAUAAUGGUUUACUAUCGAUAUGUUUGCUCUUAAGUGAAACCAAACUUACUUUAUUCCUGUUAAUUUAACAAUGUCAAUUGGCUUGGUUUAUUUGUAAGAGAACUUUGAAGAUUUACUGAAAUAAAGUUGUUGAAUUCA